Molecule: ribosomal RNA, 520 nt
Filed under: uncultured bacterium
Lineage: Bacteria
Description: partial 16S ribosomal RNA
Rfam family: Bacterial small subunit ribosomal RNA
Source: RNAcentral
GACGAACGCUGGCGGCGUGCCUAAUACAUGCAAGUCGAACGCACUCUCGUUUAGAUUGACGGAGUUUGCUCCUGAUUGAUAAACAUUUGAGUGAGUGGCGGACGGGUGAGUAACACGUGGGUAACCUGCCCUAAAGUGGGGGAUAACAUUUGGAAACAGAUGCUAAUACCGCAUAAAACCUAACACCGCAUGGUGUAGGGUUGAAAGAUGGUUUCGGCUAUCACUUUAGGAUGGACCCGCGGUGCAUUAGUUAGUUGGUGAGGUAAAGGCUCACCAAGACCGUGAUGCAUAGCCGGCCUGAGAGGGUAAUCGGCCACACUGGGGCUGAGACACGGCCCAGACUCCUACGGGAGGCAGCAGUAGGGAAUCUUCCACAAUGGACGAAAGUCUGAUGGAGCAACGCCGCGUGAGUGAAGAAGGUUUUCGGAUCGUAAAACUCUGUUGUUGGAGAAGAAUGUAUCUGAUAGUAACUGAUCAGGUAGUGACGGUAUCCAACCAGAAAGCCACGGCUAACUACGUG